AGAGUUUGAUCCUGGCUCAGAGCGAACGCUGGCGGCAGGCCUAACACAUGCAAGUCGAGCGCCCCGCAAGGGGAGCGGCAGACGGGAGAGUAACACGUGGGAACGUACCCUUCAGUUCGGAACAACCCAGGGAAACUUGGGCUAAUACCGAAUACGUCCGUAAGGAGAAAGAUUUAUCGCUGAAGGAUCGGCCCGCGUCUGAUUAGCUUGUUGGUGAGGUAACGGCUCACCAAGGCGACGAUCAGUAGCUGGUCUGAGAGGAUGAUCAGCCUCACUGGGACUGAGACACGGCCCAGACUCCUACGGGAGGCAGCAGUGGGGAAUAUUGGACAAUGGGCGCAAGCCUGAUCCAGCCAUGCCGCGUGGGUGAUGAAGGCCCUAGGGUUGUAAAGCCCUUCGGCGGGGAAGA
Molecule: ribosomal RNA, 409 nt
Filed under: uncultured bacterium
Lineage: Bacteria
Description: bacterial SSU rRNA
Rfam family: Bacterial small subunit ribosomal RNA
Source: RNAcentral